This 428-nucleotide ribosomal RNA is filed under the name uncultured archaeon. RNAcentral's name for it is "bacterial SSU rRNA". It matches the Rfam family "Archaeal small subunit ribosomal RNA", at positions 474 to 903 of the family's 1478-position model. The record is from RNAcentral.
UACCAGCAGCUCAAGUGGUGAUCGAUAUUAUUGGGCCUAAAGCGUCCGUAGCCGGUCUGGUAAACCCUUGGGUAAAUCGGGCAGCUUAACUGUCCGAAUUCUGAGGAGACUGCCAGACUUGGGACCGGGAGAGGUCAGAGGUACUCCUGGGGUAGGGGUGAAAUCCUGUAAUCCUAUGGGGACCACCAGUGGCGAAGGCGUCUGAUCAGAACGGGUCCGACGGUAAGGGACGAAGCCCUGGGGCACAAACCGGAUUAGAUACCCGGGUAGUCCAGGGUGUAAACGCUGCAGGCUUGGUGUUGGGGGUCCUACGAGGGCACUCAGUGCCGUAGAGAAGUUGUUAAGCCUGCCGCCUGGGGAGUACGUCCGCAAGGAUGAAACUUAAAGGAAUUGGCGGGGAGCACCGCAACGGGUGGAGCGUGCGGUUU